AAUCCCACAGCUGGUGUCCCACAUGGAUGCUAAUGGGAGGUGGUGGUAGCCUGGCCCUGAAGAAGGCCGUCGCGGAUCUGCGUGGCGAUGUCGCGGACGGCGCCGGGGCCAUGGGGGAUGAAGACGGAGGAGGCCUUUGAGGAGGCGCCGAUCUCCUUCAUGGUGUCGAAGUACUGGGUGAUGAGCACCAUGUCCAUCACGUCCUUGGCCGUGGUGCCCGGCACGUUCACUGAGAACCCCAGCACGCUGUCCCUCAACCCAUCCACGAUCGCCUGACGCUGCCUCGCGAUACCCAGCCCCGACAGGUACUUUGCUUCCGCUUCUCCCUCCGCCCUCUUUAUCUGCACGAUCUUCUCUGCCUCUGCCUUCUCGUUUGCAGCCACCCUCAGCCUCGCAGCUGCACAUCAUCUCAUCUCAUUCUCAUCAGUUUCAGUUGGUGCAACAUAGUACAUCAGUGUAUCUUGUGUAAUUAAGGAUUACAGUGUAACCGCCUUACCU
This 498-nucleotide long non-coding RNA is filed under the name Oryza sativa (Asian cultivated rice). RNAcentral's name for it is "long non-coding RNA (OSAT_LNC001057)". The record is from RNAcentral. Lineage: Eukaryota; Viridiplantae; Streptophyta; Magnoliopsida; Poales; Poaceae.